Scylla paramamosain (green mud crab) is the source of this 995-nucleotide long non-coding RNA. RefSeq lists it as uncharacterized. The record is from RefSeq and is a predicted model, not a curated record. Lineage: Eukaryota; Metazoa; Arthropoda; Malacostraca; Decapoda; Portunidae. The transcript has 3 exons.
GCCACGAAUCUUCUCCUAGUCCACAGAAGAUGCAGAAUAGGAGCUCUGAUGCAUGACUGGAGACAGAGCAGGUCAGGCGGGAAAUGUUGUGCUUGGGUCACGAAGGGUGAGCGUGUAAGCAACCUGGCGCAACUAAUGGCUAGCUAUUGUUCAUAUGAAGAGUAGAGGUUAUACAUCUCUUUCUGCCAGUGUUCUCGAGCUAUCGCUGUCGCUUCCGUGAGUACAAGAUGUGGCAAGAUGCGUGCCCAAGAAGCUGCUAUUCACUCUCGAGGGCUUGGCAUCAAGUCACGAAUGCUUUGUAAUCAUAUUAAUAGUAUAUAGCAAACGUGAGGAACCUUGACAUUUAGAAUGUUAUAGCACUUAUCUUGAAAUUCUUAAGGAUUGUUUCUUCGAAAUCAUGAAAAGAAAGAAAAGUGUUUAUUUGAUAAUUUUCCUGUGACGAGAUUUUUUUUUUUUCUCUUUCUUUUUUUCUUUUAUCAGUGCAUAGUAGGAUGCAUUCGUUGCUUGAGAGUUGGUACAGAUAAAUUUACGUUCAUUUGGAAGAGCGUACAUAAUCCACUCAUACACCGACUCGUGCUCUGAUUCAGGCACGCAUUCUCACGCUAGAAAGUUCAAACAGACACAUUCGUGUACUUGAAUCCUCACACACACACACACACACACACACAUGCCUCUCUCCCGCACGAGUUGCCGCUCAUGCUUCUUCGCUCUCACGCGUUCGAACCUGCAGAUAACCAAGGAAAUGUGCAGGUCAUUGUCUGUGUCCUGAAGUAUAAAUUGGAUCUAAAGCAGACCUUAGUUGGUGUGUUGUGUAGCUUCCCAUAGAAACCUCUUUUAGCCACAUUUCAAAGUUCCGGAACUUCAUCUCGACUACUAUCAACAGUCUUUCGUGGAAGUUAUUGUGAGUUUAAGAGUGUUUCCAUGAUUUUAGUGGUGGUUUUAUCAAGGAUUCUGUAUUCCUAGUGGAGAAAUAAGAUAAAUGAGGACCUGACUAA